GUUCGAGUGGCGAACGGGUGAGUAACACGUGAGUAACCUGCCCUUGACUUUGGGAUAACUUCAGGAAACUGGGGCUAAUACCGGAUAGGAGCUCCUGCUGCAUGGUGGGGGUUGGAAAGUUUCGGCGGUUGGGGAUGGACUCGCGGCUUAUCAGCUUGUUGGUGGGGUAGUGGCUUACCAAGGCUUUGACGGGUAGCCGGCCUGAGAGGGUGACCGGCCACAUUGGGACUGAGAUACGGCCCAG
This 244-nucleotide ribosomal RNA is filed under the name uncultured Actinomycetales bacterium. RNAcentral describes it as "partial 16S ribosomal RNA". It matches the Rfam family "Bacterial small subunit ribosomal RNA", at positions 89 to 334 of the family's 1533-position model. The record is from RNAcentral. Lineage: Bacteria; Bacillati; Actinomycetota; Actinomycetes; Actinomycetales.